This 1385-nucleotide ribosomal RNA is filed under the name metagenome. RNAcentral describes it as "bacterial LSU rRNA". It matches the Rfam family "Bacterial large subunit ribosomal RNA", at positions 1499 to 2875 of the family's 2925-position model. The record is from RNAcentral.
CAUAUAUGUUGGUUCAAGCCUGUAGUCGUGCCUGGUAGGCAAAUCCGCCGGGCUUAGAUGAGGGGUGAUAACGAGUCUGCUUGCAGACGAAGUGAGUGAUACCCAGCUUCCAGGAAAAGCCACUAAGCUUCAGCUACACACGACCGUACCGCAAACCGACACUGGUGCGCGAGAUGAGUAUUCUAAGGCGCUUGAGAGAACUCAGGAGAAGGAACUCGGCAAAUUGAUACCGUAACUUCGGGAGAAGGUAUGCCCCAAGUAGGUGAACUCGAACAGAGGGAGCCCAACGGGGUUGCAAAAAAUCGGUGGCUGCGACUGUUUAAUAAAAACACAGCACUCUGCAAACACGAAAGUGGACGUAUAGGGUGUGACGCCUGCCCGGUGCUGGAAGAUUAAAUGAUGGGGUGCAAGCUCUUGAUUGAAGUCCCAGUAAACGGCGGCCGUAACGAUAACGGUCCUAAGGUAGCGAAAUUCCUUGUCGGGUAAGUUCCGACCUGCACGAAUGGCGUAACGAUGGCCACACUGUCUCCUCCUGAGACUCAGCGAAGUUGAAAUGUUUGUGAUGAUGCAAUCUCCCCGCGGAAAGACGGAAAGACCCCAUGAACCUUUACUGUAGCUUUGUAUUGGACUUUGAACAGAUCUGUGUAGGAUAGGUGGGAGGCUUUGAAGUGAUGUCGCUAGAUGUCAUGGAGCCAACGUUGAAAUACCACCCUGGUGUGUUUGAGGUUCUAACCUAGGUCCAUUAUCUGGAUCGGGGACAGUGCAUGGUAGGCAGUUUGACUGGGGCGGUCUCCUCCCAAAGCGUAACGGAGGGUUCGAAGGUACGCUAGUUACGGUCGGACAUCGUGACGAUAGUGCAAUGGCAUAAGCGUGCUUAACUGCGAGACUGACAAGUCGAGCAGAUGCGAAAGCAGGACAUAGUGAUCCGGUGGUUCUGUAUGGAAGGGCCAUCGCUCAACGGAUAAAAGGUACUCUGGGGAUAACAGGCUGAUACCGCCCAAGAGUUCAUAUCGACGGCGGUGUUUGGCACCUCGAUGUCGGCUCAUCUCAUCCUGGGGCUGUAGCCGGUCCCAAGGGUAUGGCUGUUCGCCAUUUAAAGAGGUACGUGAGCUGGGUUUAAAACGUCGUGAGACAGUUUGGUCCCUAUCUUCCGUGGGCGCUGCAGAUUUGAGGAAGCCUGCUCCUAGUACGAGAGGACCGGAGUGGACACACCUCUGGUGUAUCGGUUGUCACGCCAGUGGCAUUGCCGAGUAGCUAAGUGUGGAAGAGAUAACCGCUGAAAGCAUCUAAGCGGGAAACUCGUUUCAAGAUGAGAUCUGCCGGGGCCUUGAGCCCCCUGAAGAGUCGUUCAAGACCAGGACGUUGAUAGGUCAGGUGUGGAAGCG